UUACAGAAAACCGCAGCCAAAUAACACUAGACCCUACUCAUAGUGUUGUGUUCCUGCCGGUAAGUAAGGUCGGCAACGCGCAUGUAACUCCUCUGGAGUUGCAGGCGUACAUAGGCUACGGAGACUGCUUAACAUCAGGCGGGCCGUAAGCUUGUUUGCCACCGACGUAGUAUAUAUAAAAAAAAAGA
Molecule: long non-coding RNA, 188 nt
Organism: Cydia strobilella
Lineage: Eukaryota; Metazoa; Arthropoda; Insecta; Lepidoptera; Tortricidae
Exons: 2
Source: RefSeq, a predicted model, not a curated record